Molecule: long non-coding RNA, 1122 nt
Filed under: Mastacembelus armatus (zig-zag eel)
Lineage: Eukaryota; Metazoa; Chordata; Actinopteri; Synbranchiformes; Mastacembelidae
Description: lncRNA (ENSMAMG00000026978.1)
Source: RNAcentral
GUCGUAAUGAAGAACGGGACAAAAGAGAAGGACGGACACAAGAAAGGAAGUAAGAUGGUUAUGAGCUGAUGGGCAGUUCUCACCCUUUAUUCUUGCCUGUUCCACCUGUUUACCACCUGAUGACUGACUGCACUAAUCAAAUGAGGUCUCAUCUGAUUCAUUUCUGUCUUCCCUCGUUUCUUCCUUCUCUCUUCCAUUCAUUUUUUUUCUUCCCUUCUUUGUUUAUUCACUCCUUAUUUUUAUUUUCUCAACAUCUCCUUCCUUUUUCUCGUUUUCUUCCUUGAUUCCUUCCUUCUCUCAUCACUCCUUAUUUAUCCUUCCCUUCCUUCUUUACACCUUCCUUGAUUCCUUUAUCCUUUCAGGCUUUUUCUUCUCUCCUUUCCUACAUCCUUCCUAGACUGCUUUAUUCCUUUCUUACUUUUUCAUUCCUUUCUUUUUCUCUCUCUCCUGUUUCCUCCUUUCUCUCUCUCUUUCUUGAUUCCUUUAUUCCUUGUCCUUGCCUUGUCGAUCCUGACUUCUGUUUACACUUUUCUAUUUUUACCUCCUACCCUUCUCUCCUUCUUUCUUUUUUCUUCCAUCCUUCCUACCUCCUUUGGCUUUGUUCAUUUCCUCUACUUCUUUUCUAGCUUUGCUUGAUGCCUUUAUCUUUUCCUUUCCUUUCCUUCGUUCUUUUAUUCCUCUCCUUGUUUCCUUCCUUUAAUCUGUUCUUCCUUCCUCUCUUCUCUCCUUCCUUCCUUAUUCCCUGUCUUCCUUUAUUCUGUGGAUUUCAUAUCUUUCUAUUUCAUGCUCUUUCUUUCUUCUCACCUUCUCUCCCUCUUCUCUCUCCUGAGUCACAGAGUGAUGAUGGGAGGAGACCGGAGAGAGCGAGUCGGAGAGAGAGACUGAGUCCGUCCCCCUCCGGUGAAAAACCCUCCGCCUGCGAACGAGGGAUCAUUCACUGGAGAGAGAGAAAGGCAGAGACGGACGGAGAAACUGAGCCGAGACUUUUUCUUCUUUUGUUUUUCUUUCUCGUGACGCCUCCACGUUUUUUUCCUGGCCAUCUGUCCCCAUCUAAGAAACACCAGGAUUACUCAUUUUCUCUCCUCCUCCUCCUUUUUCUUUUCUUUUAUUCCUCUCCCUCGG